Small nuclear RNA from Cebus imitator (Panamanian white-faced capuchin), 124 nucleotides. The record is from Ensembl. NCBI's taxonomy places the organism in Eukaryota, Metazoa, Chordata, Mammalia, Primates, Cebidae.
AUGUUAUAUGAAAGGAGAAAAGAUUAGCACUCUCCUUGACAAGGAUGAAAGAGGCCUUCAGGCAUGACAAGACAGAUGGUUAAGGCAUUGACAUCUAUUUUGUGGCAUCUAACCAUCAUUUUUU